Molecule: transfer RNA, 62 nt
Filed under: Glycinde armigera
Lineage: Eukaryota; Metazoa; Annelida; Polychaeta; Phyllodocida; Goniadidae
Description: tRNA-Gly
Source: RNAcentral
AUUUUCUCAGUAUUCGUGUACAUUUGCCUUCCAAGCAAAAAGAUUAUUAUAUAAAGAAAAUA